UUUGAGGGGGAUGUUGUUUGGCUCGACACAAUUACUCUCUUGUAUGUGUUUAUUUAUUCGUCAUCAAGAUUGAUGUUGAUAACGAAUAAAUUAAACACAACAAGAUAUGUAAAAAGGGAGUAAAGGCGUCGGACCAGGCUUCAUUCCUCUCAAA
RNAcentral lists this microRNA precursor (154 nucleotides) under Solanum tuberosum (potato). Its description in RNAcentral is "mir-166 microRNA precursor family". It matches the Rfam family "mir-166 microRNA precursor family". From Rfam's summary of the family: This family represents the plant microRNA (miRNA) precursor mir-166. Animal miRNAs are transcribed as ~70nt precursors and subsequently processed by the Dicer enzyme to give a ~22nt product. In plants the precursor sequences may be longer, and the carpel factory (caf) enzyme appears to be involved in processing. Lineage: Eukaryota; Viridiplantae; Streptophyta; Magnoliopsida; Solanales; Solanaceae. The record is from Rfam by way of RNAcentral.